RNAcentral lists this unclassified non-coding RNA (164 nucleotides) under uncultured Metacordyceps. RNAcentral describes it as "sequence contains ITS1". Lineage: Eukaryota; Fungi; Ascomycota; Sordariomycetes; Hypocreales; Clavicipitaceae. The record is from RNAcentral.
CCGAGUUUUCAACUCCCAAACCCCAUGUGAACUUAUACCAUUUACAACCGUUGCUUCGGCGGGUUCUCGCCCCGGGCUUUACACCCCGGAACCAGGCGGCCCGCCGGGGGACCCAAACUCUUGUUUUAUACAGUAUCUUCUGAGUAACACGAUUAAAUAAAUCA